CUACGGGUUGCUGCAGUGAGGAAUAUUGCACAAUGGGGGGAACCCUGAUGCAGCAACGCCGCGUGGAGGAUGACGCAUUUCGGUGUGUAAACUCCUUUUAUAUGUCAAGAAAAUGACGGUAGCAUAUGAAUAAGCACCGGCUAACUCCGUGCCAGCAGCCGCGGUAAUACGGAGGGUGCAAGCGUUACUCGGAAUCACUGGGCGUAAAGGAAGCGUAGGCGGGUUGGAAAGUCAGGUGUGAAAUCCUACAGCUUAACUGUAGAACUGCACUUGAAACUUCUAAUCUAGAGUAUGGGAGGGAGAGAUGGAAUUAGUGGUGUAGGGGUAAAAUCCGUAGAUAUCACUAGGAAUACCUAAAGCGAAGGCGAUCUCCUGGAACAUUACUGACGCUAAGGCGUGAAAGCGUGGGGAGCAAACAGGAUUAGAUACCCGAGUAGUC
This 439-nucleotide ribosomal RNA is filed under the name uncultured bacterium. Its description in RNAcentral is "partial 16S ribosomal RNA". It matches the Rfam family "Bacterial small subunit ribosomal RNA", at positions 339 to 795 of the family's 1533-position model. The record is from RNAcentral.